AAGAUGCAGUGUGUCCGCGGCAAGACAGAAAGACCCCGUGAACCUUUACUAUAGCUUGACACUGAACAAUGAGCCUUGAUGUGUAGGAUAGGUGGGAGGCUUUGAAGUUUGGACGCCAGUCUGCAUGGAGCCGACCUUGAAAUACCACCCUUUAAUGUUUGAUGUUCUAACGUGGACCCGUAAUCCGGGUUGCGGAGAGUGUCUGGUGGGUAGUUUGACUGGGGCGGUCUCCUCCGAAAGAGUAACGGAGG
Molecule: ribosomal RNA, 251 nt
Filed under: Salmonella enterica subsp. enterica serovar Typhimurium
Lineage: Bacteria; Pseudomonadati; Pseudomonadota; Gammaproteobacteria; Enterobacterales; Enterobacteriaceae
Description: partial 23S ribosomal RNA
Rfam family: Bacterial large subunit ribosomal RNA
Source: RNAcentral